UACGGAGGGGGCUAGCGUUGUUCGGAAUUACUGGGCGUAAAGCGCACGUAGGCGGAUCAGUUAGUCGGGGGUGAAAUCCCGGGGCUCAACCCCGGAACUGCCUUCGAUACUGCUGGUCUGGAGGUCGAGAGAGGCGAGUGGAAUUCCGAGUGUAGAGGUGAAAUUCGUAGAUAUUCGGAGGAACACCAGUGGCGAAGGCGGCUCGCUGGCUCGAUACUGACGCUGAGGUGCGAAAGCGUGGGGAGCAAACAGG
Molecule: ribosomal RNA, 253 nt
Filed under: uncultured bacterium
Lineage: Bacteria
Description: partial 16S ribosomal RNA
Rfam family: Bacterial small subunit ribosomal RNA
Source: RNAcentral